This 188-nucleotide ribosomal RNA is filed under the name Methanosaeta sp. enrichment culture clone MST-2. RNAcentral's name for it is "partial 16S ribosomal RNA". It matches the Rfam family "Archaeal small subunit ribosomal RNA", at positions 634 to 817 of the family's 1478-position model. The record is from RNAcentral. Lineage: Archaea; Methanobacteriati; Methanobacteriota; Methanomicrobia; Methanotrichales; Methanotrichaceae.
GAAUUCCAAGCUUUAAUCCUUGAGGGACCACCAGUGGCGAAGGCGUCUCACCAGAACGGGUCCGACGGCAAGGGACGAAAGCUAGGGGCACGAACCGGAUUAGAUACCCGGGUAGUCCUAGCCGUAAACGAUACUCGCUAGGUGUCGGCCACGGUGCGACCGUUGUCGGUGCCGUAGGAGAUCUGGAU